GGAGAGUUGGCCGAGUGGCUGAAGGCGGCGGUUUGCUAAACCGUUGUAGGACCAAAAGUUCUACCGGGGGUUCGAAUCCCCCACUCUCCGCCA
This 93-nucleotide transfer RNA is filed under the name Acidobacteriota bacterium. Its description in RNAcentral is "tRNA-Ser". It matches the Rfam family "tRNA". Rfam says of the family: Transfer RNA (tRNA) molecules are approximately 80 nucleotides in length. RNAcentral also lists the same sequence under 2 other names. Lineage: Bacteria; Pseudomonadati; Acidobacteriota. The record is from RNAcentral.